Molecule: ribosomal RNA, 300 nt
Filed under: uncultured Halococcus sp.
Lineage: Archaea; Methanobacteriati; Methanobacteriota; Halobacteria; Halobacteriales; Halococcaceae
Description: bacterial SSU rRNA
Rfam family: Bacterial small subunit ribosomal RNA
Source: RNAcentral
ACGAUGUGCGUGCAGUGACGGAGGUGAAGACGGGGGGGGCGAGCUGUGUUCGUAAGGACUGGGCGUAAAGCGUAAGUAGGCGGACCUGAAAGUUGGUGGUGAAAUUCCGGUGCGCAACCUCGUAACUGCCUUCAAAACUACUGGUCUUGAGUUCGAGAGAGGUGGUGGGAAUGCCGAGUGUAGAGGUGAAAUUCGUAGAUAUUCGGAGGAACACCAGUGGCGAAGGCGGCUCACUGGCUCGAUACUGACGCUGAGGUGCGAAAGCGUGGGGAGCAAACAGGAUUAGAUACCCCUGUAGUC